RNAcentral lists this ribosomal RNA (1050 nucleotides) under uncultured delta proteobacterium. RNAcentral's name for it is "bacterial SSU rRNA". It matches the Rfam family "Bacterial small subunit ribosomal RNA", at positions 46 to 1067 of the family's 1533-position model. Lineage: Bacteria; Deltaproteobacteria. The record is from RNAcentral.
GCUUACACAUGCAGUCGCACGAGAACGCUUCAGCUUGCUGAAGCUAGUAAAGUGGCGCACGGGUGAGUAACGCGUGGGUAAUCUACCCCCGAAUUGGGGAUAACUCCGCGAAAGCGGGGCUAAUACCGGAUAAUAUCUUAUUGACUUUGGUUACUAUGAUCAAAGGUGGCCUCUACUUGUAAGCUACUGUUUGGGGAUGAGCCCGCGUACCAUUAGCUUGUUGGUAGGGUAAUGGCCUACCAAGGCGACGAUGGUUAGCUGGUCUGAGAGGAUGAUCAGCCACACUGGAACUGACACACGGUCCAGACUCCUACGGGAGGCAGCAGUGAGGAAUUUUGCGCAAUGGGGGAAACCCUGACGCAGCAACGCCGCGUGAGUGAUGAAGGCUUUCGGGUCGUAAAGCUCUGUCAAGUGGGAAGAACCCACAUGGUGAUAAUACCACCAUGUGUUGACGGUACCACUGAAGGAAGCACCGGCUAACUCCGUGCCAGCAGCCGCGGUAAUACGGGGGGUGCAAGCGUUAUUCGGAAUUACUGGGCGUAAAGAGCGCGUAGGCGGUCUCUUAAGUCAGGUGUGAAAGCCCGGGGCUUAACCCCGGAAGUGCACUUGAAACUAAGGGGCUUGAGUAUGGGAGAGGGAAGUGGAAUUCCUGGUGUAGCGGUGAAAUGCGUAGAUAUCAGGAGGAACAUCGGUGGCGAAGGCGACUUCCUGGACUAAUACUGACGCUGAGGCGCGAAGGCGUGGGGAGCAAACAGGAUUAGAUACCCUGGUAGUCCACGCAGUAAACGGUGAACACUAGGUGUAGCGGGUAUUGACCCCUGCUGUGCCGCAGCAAACGCAUUAAGUGUUCCGCCUGGGGAGUACGACCGCAAGGUUAAAACUCAAAGGAAUUGACGGGGGCCCGCACAAGCGGUGGAGCAUGUGGUUUAAUUCGACGCAACGCGAAGAACCUUACCUGGAUUUGACAUCCCGGGAAUCUUUUGGAAACUUGAGAGUGCCCUUCGGGGAGCCCGGUGACAGGUGCUGCAUGGCUGUCGUCAGCUCGUGUCG